UGGGCUUGGUUGAACAUCCGGCGUUCUCGCCGGUGCACUCUGCCAGUCCAGGCCAGCAUCAGUUUGCCCCGGGGGAUAAAGGCGGCGGGAAUGUGGCUCCCUUCGGGGAGUGUUAUAGCCCGUCGUGUAAUGCCCUGGGGCGGACUGAGGAACGCGCUUCGGCACGGAUGCUGGCGUAAUGGUCAUCAAUGACCCGUCUUGAGACACGGACCAAGGAGUCGUCUUCGUAUGCGAGUGUUCGGGUGUCAAACCCCUACGCGUAAUGAAAGUGAACGUAGGUGAGAGCUUCGGCGCAUCACCGACCGAUCCUGAUGUUCUCGGAUGGAUUUGAGUAAGAGCAUACGGGGCCGGACCCGAAAGAAGGUGAACUAUGCCUGUAUAGGGUGAAGCCAGAGGAAACUCUGGUGGAGGCUCGCAGCGGUUCUGACGUGCAAAUCGAUCGUCAAAUAUGGGCAUGGGGGCGAAAGACUAAUCGAACCUUCUAGUAGCUGGUUUCCGCCGAAGUUUCCCUCAGGAUAGCAGUGUUGAACUCAGUUUUAUGAGGUAAAGCGAAUGAUUAGGGACCAGGGGGCGCUAUUUAGCCUUCAUCCAUUCUCAAACUUUAAAUAUGUAAGAAGCUCUUGUUACUUAAUUGAACGUGGGCAUUCGAAUGUAUCAACACUAGUGGGCCAUUUUUGGUAAGCAGAACUGGCGAUGCGGGAUGAACCGAACGCGAGGUUAAGGUGCCAGAGUAGACGCUCAUCAGACACCACAAAAGGUGUUGGUUCAUCUAG
This 773-nucleotide ribosomal RNA is filed under the name uncultured Ascomycota. RNAcentral describes it as "LSU rRNA". It matches the Rfam family "Eukaryotic large subunit ribosomal RNA", at positions 438 to 1236 of the family's 3401-position model. Lineage: Eukaryota; Fungi; Ascomycota. The record is from RNAcentral.